AUACCUACCUGGCAAGGGAGAUACCAUGAUCAUGAAGGUGGUUUUCCACCCAGCACUCUGGAUGUGCUGACCCCUGCAAUUUCCCCAAGUGUGGGAAACUCGAAUGCAUAAUUUGUGGUACUGGGGGACAGCAUUCACAUUCUACCCAGU
This 150-nucleotide small nuclear RNA is filed under the name Castor canadensis (American beaver). RNAcentral's name for it is "U1 spliceosomal RNA (ENSCCNG00000003786.1)". It matches the Rfam family "U1 spliceosomal RNA". Rfam says of the family: U1 is a small nuclear RNA (snRNA) component of the spliceosome (involved in pre-mRNA splicing). Its 5' end forms complementary base pairs with the 5' splice junction, thus defining the 5' donor site of an intron. The record is from RNAcentral. Lineage: Eukaryota; Metazoa; Chordata; Mammalia; Rodentia; Castoridae.